RNAcentral lists this ribosomal RNA (640 nucleotides) under uncultured Achromobacter sp. RNAcentral's name for it is "bacterial SSU rRNA". It matches the Rfam family "Bacterial small subunit ribosomal RNA", at positions 78 to 705 of the family's 1533-position model. Lineage: Bacteria; Pseudomonadati; Pseudomonadota; Betaproteobacteria; Burkholderiales; Alcaligenaceae. The record is from RNAcentral.
CCACAGCAGGAAACUUGGUCAACUCGGUCAUUUAGAGGAGAUAAAAGGGGUAACAAGGUAACCAGUAGCGGGGGAGAACUACGCGUAAGCGUAGCUAAUACCGCAUACGCCCUACGGGGGAAAGCAGGGGAUCGCAAGACCUUGCACUAUUGGAGCGGCCGAUAUCGGAUUAGCUAGUUGGUGGGGUAACGGCUCACCAAGGCGACGAUCCGUAGCUGGUUUGAGAGGACGACCAGCCACACUGGGACUGAGACACGGCCCAGACUCCUACGGGAGGCAGCAGUGGGGAAUUUUGGACAGUGGGGGAAACCCUGAUCCAGCCAUCCCGCGUGUGCGAUGAAGGCCUUCGGGUUGUAAAGCACUUUUGGCAAGAAAGAAACGUCGUGGGUUAAUACCCCGCGAAACUGACGGUACCUGCAGAAUAAGCACCGGCUAACUACGUGCCAGCAGCCGCGGUAAUACGUAGGGUGCAAGCGUUAAUCGGAAUUACUGGGCGUAAAGCGUGCGCAGGCGGCUCGGAAAGAAAGAUGUGAAAUCCCAGAGCUUAACUUUGGAACUGCAUUUUUAACUACCGUGCUAGAGUGUGUCAAGGGAGUGGAAUUCCGCGUGUAACAGUGAAAAUGCGUAGAUUUGCGGAAGC